This 305-nucleotide ribosomal RNA is filed under the name uncultured bacterium. RNAcentral's name for it is "bacterial SSU rRNA". It matches the Rfam family "Bacterial small subunit ribosomal RNA", at positions 334 to 657 of the family's 1533-position model. The record is from RNAcentral.
GACCUACGGGGGGCAGCAGUGGGGGAUAUUGCACAAUGGGGGAAACCCUGAUGCAGCGACGCCGCGUGUGGGAAGACGGUCCUCUGGAUUGUAAACCACUGUCCCCAGGGACGAAGAUGACGGUACCUGGGGAGGAAGCUCCGGCUAACUACGUGCCAGCAGCCGCGGUAAUACGUAGGGGGCAAGCGUUAUCCGGAUUUACUGGGUGUAAAGGGAGCGUAGACGGCAUAGCAAGUCUGAAGUGAAAGCCCGUGGCUCAACCGCGGAACUGCUUUGGACACUGUUAAGCUGGAGUACUGGAGAGG